Haliotis rufescens (red abalone) is the source of this 345-nucleotide long non-coding RNA. RefSeq lists it as uncharacterized. The record is from RefSeq and is a predicted model, not a curated record. The transcript is spliced from 2 exons. NCBI's taxonomy places the organism in Eukaryota, Metazoa, Mollusca, Gastropoda, Lepetellida, Haliotidae.
GACAGGAUCAGGUCCAGCAUGGACACACCACUGACAUGAUCAGGCCCAGCAUGGACACACCAUUGACAGGAUCAGGUCCAGCUUGGACACACCACUGACAGAAUCAGGCCCAGCAUGGACACACCAUUGACAGGAUCAGCUAGGUUUGGGCCUGUACACACAAACCAUCGACGGGAUCAGCCGGGAUUAGAACAGCGUUUCCCAGUUCACUGACACAACCUGUAAGCAUCCCCAGCCCACUGAGGCCUCCUUAGUCACCCCUUCUCACAAGCAUUCAGAAAAUAUUUCUUAAAUUCAAAGAUGUUGUUACCAAGGUAUAAUGUGAAAUAUUAAUCAAAUAUUAAU